Molecule: ribosomal RNA, 468 nt
Filed under: uncultured bacterium
Lineage: Bacteria
Description: partial 16S ribosomal RNA
Rfam family: Bacterial small subunit ribosomal RNA
Source: RNAcentral
GACGAACGCUGGCGGCGUGCUUAACACAUGCAAGUCGAACGGAAAGGCCCUGCUUUUGUGGGGUGCUCGAGUGGCGAACGGGUGAGUAACACGUGAGUAACCUGCCCUUGACUUUGGGAUAACUUCAGGAAACUGGGGCUAAUACCGGAUAGGAGCUCCUGCUGCAUGGUGGGGGUUGGAAAGUUUCGGCGGUUGGGGAUGGACUCGCGGCUUAUCAGCUUGUUGGUGGGGUAGUGGCUUACCAAGGCUUUGACGGGUAGCCGGCCUGAGAGGGUGACCGGCCACAUUGGGACUGAGAUACGACCCAGACUCCUACGGGAGGCAGCAGUGGGGAAUAUUGCACGAUGGGCGGAAGCCUGAUGCAGCAACGCCGCGUGCGGGAUGACGGCCGUCGGGUUGUAACCCGCUUUCGCCUGUGACGAAGCGUGAGUGACGGUAAUGGGUAAAGAAGCACCGGCUAACUACGUG